RNAcentral lists this transfer RNA (67 nucleotides) under Myioborus flavivertex. RNAcentral's name for it is "tRNA-Cys". The record is from RNAcentral. Lineage: Eukaryota; Metazoa; Chordata; Aves; Passeriformes; Parulidae.
GGCCCUGUAGUGAAGUUCAUGGUGAGUUGCAAGCUCAUUGAUGUGCACAGAUUAUGCACCGGGGUCU